UGCAGUGCAUGGUAUCUGCGCUCAGCAGCUCAUUCCUGCUGGUGUUCAAAGGACACUGUGACAGGAACCCAAUAUCUGGCAUCAUUGGUUUUCUUGGCUUUGUGCAGUUAGCUGUGGUAUUUCUAUUGAUAUGGUA
Molecule: small nucleolar RNA, 136 nt
Organism: Jaculus jaculus (lesser Egyptian jerboa)
Lineage: Eukaryota; Metazoa; Chordata; Mammalia; Rodentia; Dipodidae
Source: Ensembl